UACGUAGGGGGCAAGCGUUGUCCGGAUUUAUUGGGCGUAAAGAGCGUGUAGGCGGCCAGGGAGGCCCGUUGUGAAAACUCGAGGCUCAACCUCGAGACGCCGAUGGAAACCCCCUGGCUAGAGUCCGGAAGAGGAGAAUGGAAUUCCUGGUGUAGCGGUGAAAUGCGCAGAUAUCGGGAAGAACACCCGUGGCGAAGGCGGCUCUCUGGGACGGUACUGACGCUGAGACGCGAAAGCGUGGGGAGCGAACAGG
Molecule: ribosomal RNA, 253 nt
Filed under: uncultured bacterium
Lineage: Bacteria
Description: partial 16S ribosomal RNA
Rfam family: Bacterial small subunit ribosomal RNA
Source: RNAcentral